AGUGUGUGCUGAGGUGGCUGAUAAAUCCCACGUGCCGAGUGUCGGAAUCAGAAAUUAGCCUUUUUGGAAGGACAUGAACUAUGUGUCUGAAAAAAUGAUUGCUCACUUUCCAAGUUGUGACACCUUGUUAGCAUCAAGUUCACUAGCCAGGCCAAGGGCAGUUAUUCCGGCUUGACCUCAGCAUCAUUAUUUUUCCUGAGGAGGCAAUUGUGAGAAACUCCAUGGUGUAACAAUCCUCACGAGACUUUUGUAAGCCAGAGGUCAUCCAAGGCCUUCUAGUAUGGAACUAUAAAUACUAUUGCUGUAAACAGGAUAUAGCUAUUAAACUUAGGCAGGCAGGUGGCAACAUUAUUAGGAAAUGUGGUUGCUGAGGAAGCCUUCAAAUGGGCAUAUGGUUUC
This 399-nucleotide long non-coding RNA is filed under the name Gallus gallus (chicken). The record is from RNAcentral. Lineage: Eukaryota; Metazoa; Chordata; Aves; Galliformes; Phasianidae.